CACAGCCGUGUCAAAUUCGGUGCCUACCCAUCCGUGGCAGGCGCCGGCCUGAAAUAGAUGACAAGGAUUAUUUCUUAUUUAGAGAUGGUGACAUCU
This is a small nucleolar RNA of Panthera leo (lion), 96 nucleotides long. The record is from Ensembl. NCBI's taxonomy places the organism in Eukaryota, Metazoa, Chordata, Mammalia, Carnivora, Felidae.